UACGUAGGGUGCAAGCGUUGUCCGGAAUUAUUGGGCGUAAAGAGCUCGUAGGCGGUCUGUCGCGUCGGCUGUGAAAACCCGGGGCUCAACCCCGGGCCUGCAGUCGAUACGGGCAGACUAGAGUGUGGUAGGGGAGACUGGAAUUCCUGGUGUAGCGGUGAAAUGCGCAGAUAUCAGGAGGAACACCGGUGGCGAAGGCGGGUCUCUGGGCCAUAACUGACGCUGAGGCACGAAAGCGUGGGGAGCAAACAGG
RNAcentral lists this ribosomal RNA (253 nucleotides) under uncultured bacterium. RNAcentral's name for it is "partial 16S ribosomal RNA". It matches the Rfam family "Bacterial small subunit ribosomal RNA", at positions 524 to 776 of the family's 1533-position model. The record is from RNAcentral.